Molecule: RNase P RNA, 307 nt
Filed under: unidentified bacterium SM-A74
Lineage: Bacteria
Description: partial RNAase P
Rfam family: Bacterial RNase P class A
About the family: Ribonuclease P (RNase P) is a ubiquitous endoribonuclease, found in archaea, bacteria and eukarya as well as chloroplasts and mitochondria. Its best characterised activity is the generation of mature 5'-ends of tRNAs by cleaving the 5'-leader elements of precursor-tRNAs.
Source: RNAcentral
GAGGAAAGUCCGGGCUCCGUCAGGCAGGACGCCAGGUAACGCCUGGAGGGUGCGAGCCCAUGGAAAGUGCCACAGAAAAUAUACCGCCAGCUUUGCUGGUAAGGGUGAAAAGGUGCGGUAAGAGCGCACCGCGCGGGUGGUAACACGCCGCGGCAUGGUAAACCCCGUCCGGAGCAAGACCAAAUAGGGGAGCAUGGGGACCUUCGGGUCUCUACCGUACGCCUGAGCGGGCUCCCGGGUAGGUUGCUAGAGGCGACCGGUGACGGUUGUCCCAGAUGAAUGAUUGCCCACGACAGAACCCGGCUUA